GGGUUGUGAGGUUAAGCGACUAAGCGUACACGGUGGAUGCCCUGGCAGUCAGAGGCGAUGAAGGGCGUGCUAAUCUGCGAUAAGCGCCGGUAAGGUGAUAUGAACCGUUAUAACCGGCGAUACCCGAAUGGGGAAACCCAGUGUGACUCGUCACACUAUCAUUAACUGAAUCCAUAGGUUAAUGAGGCGAACCGGGGGAACUGAAACAUCUAAGUACCCCGAGGAAAAGAAAUCAACCGAGAUUCCCCCAGUAGCGGCGAGCGAACGGGGAGGAGCCCAGAGCCUGAAUCAGCAUGUGUGUUAGUGGAAGCGUCUGGAAAGGCGCGCGAUACAGGGUGACAGCCCCGUACACAAAAGCGCAUGUGCUGUGAGCUCGAUGAGUAGGGCGGGACACGUGGUAUCCUGUCUGAAUAUGGGGGGACCAUCCUCCAAGGCUAAAUACUCCUGACUGACCGAUAGUGAACCAGUACCGUGAGGGAAAGGCGAAAAGAACCCCGGCGAGGGGAGUGAAAAAGAACCUGAAACCGUGUACGUACAAGCAGUGGGAGCCCCACCACUAAGCCAGUGGUGAACUCCACAUACGCAUCCUUUGCUGAAGGCAAUGGUUAACGGAGCGAAAGCGACGUUCAACCGCAAAACAAGCAGAGGGGGCUUAGUGGUGG
RNAcentral lists this ribosomal RNA (662 nucleotides) under Salmonella enterica subsp. enterica. Its description in RNAcentral is "partial 23S ribosomal RNA". It matches the Rfam family "Bacterial large subunit ribosomal RNA", at positions 1 to 677 of the family's 2925-position model. The record is from RNAcentral. Lineage: Bacteria; Pseudomonadati; Pseudomonadota; Gammaproteobacteria; Enterobacterales; Enterobacteriaceae.